AUUGAACGCUGGCGGCAGGCCUAACACAUGCAAGUCGAACGGUAACAGGAAGCAGCUUGCUGCUUCGCUGACGAGUGGCGGACGGGUGAGUAAUGUCUGGGAAGCUGCCUGAUGGAGGGGGAUAACUACUGGAAACGGUAGCUAAUACCGCAUAAUGUCGCAAGACCAAAGAGGGGGACCUUCGGGCCUCUUGCCAUCGGAUGUGCCCAGAUGGGAUUAGCUUGUUGGUGGGGUGACGGCUCACCAAGGCGACGGUCCCUAGCUGGACUGAGAGGAUGAUCGGCCGCACUGGAACAGGAACGGGGACCAGACUCCUAAGGGACGCAGCAGUCGGGAACAUUGGACAAUUGGGGUAAGUCUGAUGCAGUGAUGGCGCGUGUAUGAAAGAGGCCCUCGGGUUGUAAAGAGCUUUCAGGGGGGAGGAAGGGUGUAGAGUUAAUACCUUUGCUCAUUGACGUUACCCGCAGAAGAAGCACCGGCUAACUCCGUG
Molecule: ribosomal RNA, 490 nt
Filed under: uncultured bacterium
Lineage: Bacteria
Description: partial 16S ribosomal RNA
Rfam family: Bacterial small subunit ribosomal RNA
Source: RNAcentral